UUGUGUGUUAGUGGAACGGUCUGGAAAGUCCGACGGUACAGGGUGAUAGUCCCGUACACCAAAAUGCACAGGUUGUGAACUCGAAGAGUAGGGCGGGACACGUGGUAUCCUGUCUGAAUAUGGGGGGACCAUCCUCCAAGGCUAAAUACUCCUGACUGACCGAUAGUGAACCAGUACCGUGAGGGAAAGGCGAAAAGAACCCCGGCGAGGGGAGUGAAAAAGAACCUGAAACCGUGUACGUACAAGCAGUGGGAGCCUCUUUAUGGGGUGACUGCGUACCUUUUGUAUAAUGGGUCAGCGACUUAUAUUCUGUAGCAAGGUUAACCGUAUAGGGGAGCCGAAGGGAAACCGAGUCUUAACUGGGCGUUAAGUUGCAGGGUAUAGACCCGAAACCCGGUGAUCUAGCCAUGGGCAGGUUGAAGGUUGGGUAACACUAACUGGAGGACCGAACCGACUAAUGUUGAAAAAUUAGCGGAUGACUUGUGGCUGGGGGUGAAAGGCCAAUCAAACCGGGAGAUAGCUGGUUCUCCCCGAAAGCU
This 539-nucleotide ribosomal RNA is filed under the name Citrobacter freundii. Its description in RNAcentral is "partial 23S ribosomal RNA". It matches the Rfam family "Bacterial large subunit ribosomal RNA", at positions 322 to 867 of the family's 2925-position model. The record is from RNAcentral. Lineage: Bacteria; Pseudomonadati; Pseudomonadota; Gammaproteobacteria; Enterobacterales; Enterobacteriaceae.